This 280-nucleotide unclassified non-coding RNA is filed under the name plant metagenome. Its description in RNAcentral is "partial contains small subunit ribosomal RNA and internal transcribed spacer 1". The stretch from base 1 to 46 matches the Rfam family "Eukaryotic small subunit ribosomal RNA", at positions 1786 to 1831 of the family's 1831-position model. The record is from RNAcentral.
AAGUCGUAACAAGGUUUCCGUAGGUGAACCUGCGGAAGGAUCAUCAUUGAAUAAACUUGGUUGGGUUGUUGCUGGCUCCUCGGAGCAUGUGCACGCUCACUCCAUUUUUAACCACCUGUGCACCUUGUGUAGAUCUGAACAACUCUCGGGGAAACUCGGUCAGAGGAUUGCUGUGUGUAAAAGCCAGCUUUUCUUGGGUUCAGAUCUAUGUCUCUAUAUACACCAUAAGAAUGUAUUGGAAUGUAAUUAAUAGGCGUUACAGCCUUUAAAAUCAAUACAA